Long non-coding RNA from Cercocebus atys (sooty mangabey), 1031 nucleotides. RefSeq lists it as uncharacterized. The record is from RefSeq and is a predicted model, not a curated record. Lineage: Eukaryota; Metazoa; Chordata; Mammalia; Primates; Cercopithecidae. The transcript is spliced from 3 exons.
UGACAUGGAUGCGGUGAAAAGGGAACACUUUUACGCUGCUGUAAGUCAAAGAUGGUGUCGAAAAUGGUGAAAUCAAGAACUAGAAUUAUGAAGAUUUAAAAACAGAAGAAACACCUCCCAGAGUUGCAAGUGGUCACCUGUCCCAGAGAGCUGGUGAGAUGAGAUGGAGAGGCGUCAGCUGAGUUUUAUGGUGAGAAAGUGGAGCUCGGAGAUGUCAUUGGCCCAGGUCACACAGAUGGUGGAGACCAGUGUGGAGCCCGGGAGUGGGCUGAGCAGAGUGCCUGGACUUUGAGCUUCCAUCAGACCCUGCCCGAGAUAUUCACCUGUCCUGGCCGCCUGGUGACCCUGGUGUGCUAACUUGGUACUUACCUUGCUCUGCGGAGCCCCCUGGGCCUCCUAAACACCAGGUGGGCACCUUCAGGCAGCCCCAUACUGACCUGAGAAGCCCAGGUAUCGCUGGCCAACCAACCCUACUCACAGACAGAAGCAGUUCUCUGUCUUUUGGCUUUAACAGAGCUGCUUCAUUUCUCCUCCCCACAAAGCCUGGACUUUGUUCUGGGGGGUCUCCCUGUUUGCAUGGGAGCUUUUUCACUCAGUGCUCAAUCUGAUCUCUGCCACCCCCACCCACACCUCUGACUGGGUGGACCUUUGUGACUGCCUUGACCAGUAGAGUAUGGCAGAAGACGCUCUGUAACUUCCAAGGCUAGAUCUAGAAAAUGCCAUGCACUUCUGCCUUGCUCUCCUGGGACGUCCACUCUUAGAACCCAGCUGCUGUGCUGAGAAGAACUCACAGAAAGACCACGUGGAGUGGAGCAGACGGGUCAGUGUCCCAGGUGACAGCCCGUGUCAACCUCAGACCUGCACGUGAGGAUGCCACCAGAGGGUUCCUGCCGCCACCGUCAAGUCACCCCAGCCUUCAUCUUCCAGCCGGCGCCCCAGGCAUUAUGGGCAGAGGUAAACUGUCUCCAUGAUGCCCUUUCCAAAUUUCCGACCCGCAGAAUCCAUGAUUAUAAUAAAAUGGCUGUUUUAUG